GUCUUUAUGGAUUUUAUGUAAAGUCUAGCCUGCCCAAUGAUGUAAUUUAAUGGCCGCGGUAUAUUGACCGUGCGAAGGUAGCAUAAUAAUUAGUCCUUUAAUUGAGGACUGGUAUGAAAGGUUGGACAAAAAGUUGACUGUCUCUGAAUUAAAUCUUGAAUUUAACUUUUAAGUGAAAAGGCUUAAGUGUUUUAGGGGGACGAUAAGACCCUAUAAAUCUUUAUAUUUAAGUUUAUAGGAUAAGAGAGUAAAAAGAUAUUUUGUUUAAUAAUUUUAAAUAUUUUGUUGGGGUGACAAGAGCAUAAUAUGUAACUGCUUUAAAAUAAUAGUUAAAUAUAUUUAGUUAGGUGAUCCUUUUAUAAAGAUGUUAGUUUAAGUUACUUUAGGGAUAACAGCGUAAUUUUUUUUGAGAGUUCAUAUCGAAAAAAAAGUUUGCGACCUCGAUGUUGAAUUAAAGAUCCUUUGUGGUGCAGGAGCUGCAAAAGGAGAUCUGUUCGAUCUUUAAAUCUUUACAUGAUUUGAGUUCAGACCGGCGUGAG
Molecule: ribosomal RNA, 539 nt
Filed under: Scammarctus batei
Lineage: Eukaryota; Metazoa; Arthropoda; Malacostraca; Decapoda; Scyllaridae
Description: partial 16S ribosomal RNA
Rfam family: Bacterial large subunit ribosomal RNA
Source: RNAcentral